GUCUCCAUCGUCUAGGGGUCUAGGACACCGGGUUUUCAUCCCGGCAACAGGGGUUCGAAUCCCCUUGGAGAUGCCA
This 76-nucleotide transfer RNA is filed under the name Lentisphaerota bacterium. RNAcentral's name for it is "Lentisphaerae bacterium (anaerobic digester metagenome) tRNA-Glu". It matches the Rfam family "tRNA". Rfam says of the family: Transfer RNA (tRNA) molecules are approximately 80 nucleotides in length. The record is from RNAcentral. Lineage: Bacteria; Pseudomonadati; Lentisphaerota. RNAcentral also lists the same sequence under 2 other names.